Molecule: ribosomal RNA, 224 nt
Filed under: uncultured bacterium
Lineage: Bacteria
Description: partial 16S ribosomal RNA
Rfam family: Bacterial small subunit ribosomal RNA
Source: RNAcentral
GGACAAUCUGCCCUUAUGUCUGGGAUAAUCCUUCGAAAGGGGGGUCUAAUACCGGAUAAGACCACGAGAUGGCAUCAUCAUGAGGUCAAAGGCGGGGUAACCUGCCGCAUAGGGAUGAGUCCGCGCUCCAUUAGCUUGUUGGUAAGGUAACGGCUUACCAAGGCUACGAUGGAUAGCCGGCCUGAGAGGGCGAUCGGCCACACUGGGACUGAGAUACGGCCCAG